This 1698-nucleotide long non-coding RNA is filed under the name Homo sapiens (human). RNAcentral's name for it is "HSALNT0330265". Lineage: Eukaryota; Metazoa; Chordata; Mammalia; Primates; Hominidae. The record is from RNAcentral.
ACUGAAAAAGUGAGGAUGUAGGAGCCAAAAAAAAAGUCUGAGACCAGCCCUGCCACUUACUAGCAGGUCCCGUCAGUUUGGGCUUCUGUUUCUCACCAAUGAAAUGAAUAGGAGAAGUUCAGCUCUCAGAUCUUGCAACUCUGAGAGUCCUUUUCCCAGCUUCAGCUACCUUUCUCCUACCAAACGUGACUGGAUAGUCCUAGGACAUAUAUAAUGUAUCAUUAUAUAUGAUACUGUGGCUUUAGGGUUUAGAAUUUAUUUGAGAUGGUCUAUGGCAAUUCAUUCAUUUUACUCAUUGGAAACUGAGCCUCAGAGAGACAGAGGCAUUUGUUCAAGGUUACACUUUACAACCAGCUUGAGAAUCUGUGGGUUCUCCUGUGACCACUCACAUAGACCCUAAGAUUCCUUGGUCACAAUUUGCCAUAUGGUUGUGUGAGAACCUGUGACCCCUCACUUAGACCCUUGGAGUCCUUGAUCAUAAUUUGCCAUAGGAAGGUGCAGAAUGGUGGAUAUGGUGGGGUGGCCCUCAACAUCCACUCCAACCACCCUUCAAUCUGCCUUUCAGUACUGUAGAGGCUAGAAAGAGUAGAAUACAUGCUGUAUUAUCUCAUUAAUAUAAAGUUCAAGAGCAGGCAAAACUAAUUUAUGGUGACAAAAAUCUAGACAGUGGUUAUUGGGUAUGUGAGGGAGGUGAUGUUUGACUGCAAACAAGCAAAAAGAAACUUUCUGGGUGGUUGCAAACCCUGAUCUACAUAGUAAAAGGCAACAUUGACUUGCAGCUCCUGAGCCUGCCCCAACCAUGAAGAAUGUGGGCAUCUUGGAGUCCCCAUUAACAGGUUGACUCUGCUGCACAACUUGGGAUCAGAAAGUCUGAGUUCACCCCAGCUCUGCUGCUUGUAAGCCAGGGACAUUGUGUUCUUCCUGACUGUGGACCAGCUGGGCUUCUGCUGUGUGUUCCUGAUGCUUCUGGCAGAUAACCUCAAACAAGUAGGGCAGAGAACUCAAGCAGAAAUACAAGAUGGCACGAGAUAGCCCAGCUUGAGUUUUAAGCAGCUCCAUCCAAAUCAACCAGGUGAUCAAGACAACUGAUGAGAUCAUAGCUGACUGCCAGGGCAGAGGCGUGGCGAUUCCCACACCCACCGUGGAUGUCACAUCUACACAGUGUUCACAUUUCCCUUGCUGGUGCUGCUGGUGUUCCUCCAGAGCCUCUGUGCGCUGCCUACUUUCUAGAUGCUGAACAAAGUCUUCACGCUGGGAAGCCUCGUCCUCAUCCUCCAGCAUCUCCUCCAGGAGGAAAACAAAGGGAGAUUUGACUACAGACAAGAGAUAAGAAGCCCAUGGGAUAGAAGCAGAGUCAGAGAGAGAAGACACUAUGGGAAUAUCAGGGAAGGAGCCACGAGCCAAGGGAUGUACAGAAUGCUCUAGAAGCUAGGAAGAAGAACAACAACAACAAAGGAAACAGAUUUUCCUUCAUAGCCUCUGGAGGAAGCAUAGCCCUGCUGGCAUGUUUACUUUGGCUCAUUGAAACUGAUUUAGGGCUUCUGGCCUUCAGAACUGUAAGAACAAAUUUGUGUGUUGUUUUAUGGCACUAAGUUUAUGGCAAUUUGUUAGAGCAGCCAUAGGAAACCAACACAGGCAAAAGAAAGGACCUCUGAGGCUUACUCCACAUCUGUCAAAUGGGAUCAAUAACACAUUCAU